This 406-nucleotide ribosomal RNA is filed under the name uncultured bacterium. RNAcentral's name for it is "partial 16S ribosomal RNA". It matches the Rfam family "Bacterial small subunit ribosomal RNA", at positions 30 to 526 of the family's 1533-position model. The record is from RNAcentral.
CUUGAACGCUGGCGGCAGGCCUCCCCCCUUCAAGUCGAACGAGUGGCGGACGGGUGAGUAAUGUCUGGGCAACUGCCUGAUGGAGGGGGAUAACUACUGGAAACGGUAGCUAAUACCGCAUACCAUCAGAUGUGCCCAGAUGGGAUUAGCUAGUAGGUGGGGUAAUGUCUCACCUCGGCGACGAUCCCUAGCUGGUCUGAGAGGAUGACCAGCCACACUGGAACGGAGACACGGUCCAGACUCCUACGGGAGGCAGCAGUGGGGAAUAUUGCACAAGGGGCGAAAGCCUGAUGCAGCCAUGCCGCGUGUAUGAAGAAGGCCUUCGGGUUGUAAAGUACUUUCAGCGAGGAGGCGUUACUCGCAGAAGAAGCACCGGCUAACGAAGGGAAAGCAGCCGCGGUAAUAC